GGGUUGGAACUGGCUGCUCGGGCCAGUGGUGGAGUCCCCAUCCCUGGAGGUAUUUGAGCCGUGUGGACGUGGCACUAAGGGACGUGGCUUGGUGAUGGGACUUGGCAGGGCAGGUCGGCGGUUGGACGUGGUGAUCCUGAAGGUGUCUCCCAACCUAGAUGGUUCUGGGGUUCUGUAAAUGCGGAGGGAGCUCUGCUCUCCACCUCCAAAGCAACCUCCUGCGCAAUGACCUGGAGCAUGUGUCUGCAAGCCCCCAGUCCGUGGGACACGCUCGUGGUGGCCUCGGGGACCUCCGGAGCUUCAGGCAUGAGGCCACGUCCCCCUGCCAGCGCGGGUCCU
Long non-coding RNA from Cygnus olor (mute swan), 339 nucleotides. RefSeq lists it as uncharacterized. The transcript has 3 exons. NCBI's taxonomy places the organism in Eukaryota, Metazoa, Chordata, Aves, Anseriformes, Anatidae. The record is from RefSeq and is a predicted model, not a curated record.